CCCACCGUCAAGUUUGUCCUAGGGUUUAGGGGUUUAUUGGUAGAAUCAGCGUUGGUGGGGUUCAAAGAAAUCGUUAAGCCCGUGUUUCCGAGGAGGCAAGGGAUCUUGAUUAUUGGAUUCCACCCACGUCCUUUGGUGGUCGGCCACCCAGGCCAUCUUCCCAGCAGCAUCCAUGUGGUUCAGUUCUCCCAAAUCAAGGUCCCUGAGUUCUCCAGUUUGAUUAUAGAGGUUUGGUCGCACAUGUUCACACAUUCAGAGCCU
RNAcentral lists this long non-coding RNA (261 nucleotides) under Sorghum bicolor (sorghum). RNAcentral's name for it is "long non-coding RNA (SBIC_LNC009790)". Lineage: Eukaryota; Viridiplantae; Streptophyta; Magnoliopsida; Poales; Poaceae. The record is from RNAcentral.